This is a long non-coding RNA of Bos taurus (domestic cattle), 715 nucleotides long. Lineage: Eukaryota; Metazoa; Chordata; Mammalia; Artiodactyla; Bovidae. The record is from Ensembl.
UGCAGGCCAGGCCUGGAGGUCGGGGGUCUGGGCUGGAUGCCGCACUGGCGUUCUUGGUCAGCGGCCGAGAGGCUUUGAUCAGGGUGGUCCUGGCCUGGCCUGCUUUCCCCUCUGUAAAAUGAACGUGUGGGGUGAAUGCUAACCGCUGGGAGAAGACGGUCAGCGCUGCAGUGGCCGAGGCUUAUGUGGACAUUGUGCGUGGUGACACGGUGUGUGGAGACGUGCAUCUGUGACUCCUGCAGUGUGCAUGAGGUCGCCAGCCGCUUUGCGUGCUUUGGAGGAGGGAGCAGAGCCGUGAUGUGGAAGGUGUCUGGGUGCCUGGUUGACCUUGAGAAGCCGAGCCAUGAAACCAGCCCUGGUGAUGAUUGAGAGAGAAGAAGCUCUUCCUCUGUUUCAGCCACUCAUCUGGUGGACCAUGCGGACGUGCAGGGAAUGUGAUGAAAGCGCCGAAGAGAAUCUCAGACCCCUGGCUUGUAGAGAACCUUUCAAGGUCAUCCUCUCCAAUCACCCUGCUUGCUGAGGUUUGGACUUCAAAGGCUCUUGAUAAAGGAAGCAGCUGCUCCAUAACUCAACAUCGCUUUGAACAUGAAGCUGUCGACAGCUACACUCCGUGACUCGCACAGAGAGUUGCAAUCAAGUUUCAGGAGCCCAAGGGUUUGUGGGAAGCACUCAUGGUGCAGGCACGGGAUCCACGUUGGUGGCAAGUAAAGCAGAC